This 312-nucleotide ribosomal RNA is filed under the name uncultured soil bacterium. RNAcentral describes it as "bacterial SSU rRNA". It matches the Rfam family "Bacterial small subunit ribosomal RNA", at positions 26 to 334 of the family's 1533-position model. The record is from RNAcentral.
AGAGUGAACGCUGGCGGCAGGCCUAAUACAUGCAAGUCGAACGGCAGCACGGCAGAGCUUGCUCUGUGGGUGGCGAGUGGCGGACGGGUGAGGAAUACAUGGGAAUCUGCCCAGUCGUGGGGGAUAACGUAUGGAAACGUACGCUAAUACCGCAUGCGCCCUUCGGGGGAAAGCCGGGGACCUUCGGGCCUGGCGCGAUUGGAUGAGCCCAUGUCGGAUUAGCUAGUUGGCGGGGUAACGGCCUACCAAGGCGACGAUCCGUAGCUGGUCUGAGAGGAUGAUCAGCCACACUGGAACUGAGACACGGUCCAG